UUUUCAUUUUUUUUUUUACUUUUUUUUCUUUUUCCUACCCAUCUUCCUGUUACUUCUUUGUGGACUAUGACGGAUGUCGAAGCGAAUAAAACCGUUAAAAAACCACAAUCCAUUAAUAUUGAUGGG
RNAcentral lists this non-coding RNA (126 nucleotides) under Sexangularia sp. CB-2014. The record is from RNAcentral. Lineage: Eukaryota; Tubulinea; Elardia; Arcellinida.